Long non-coding RNA from Episyrphus balteatus (marmalade hoverfly), 1077 nucleotides. RefSeq lists it as uncharacterized. The record is from RefSeq and is a predicted model, not a curated record. Lineage: Eukaryota; Metazoa; Arthropoda; Insecta; Diptera; Syrphidae. The transcript has 3 exons.
ACUAACAGGGUUAUUCUGGGCAACCUCACUGAUGUCUCACAAGUCACAAUAACCUCAUAACUCGAGUUAAACUCGAUUUUGUGACUUUUUCGUAUUCUAACGAAAACCUCACAGUCACAAGAACCUCAUAAGGUGUGGUGAGUUUGAUUUUGUGAGGUUUUUGGAAUUCUGGCGUAACCUCACAACUUGUGAGCCUCAUAAAAAUUGUAAAAAUUGUGAUCUCCUUCAGAGCAGGUCACAACUCACAAAUUACUAGAGUUUUGACAUUUUUCAUUUCUAUAAAAUGUUUUGAGAACAAAUAAUUUAAGUUUUUUUAUUUUUGAGUCAAUAAAAAUGGAAUUAGACCUUAUUUUAUUGCAUUUCAUUGCAGAAUUUUCAUCGGAAAGUGAAAAAUUGCAACGCGUCGUCGGCGGCUCUUGAAAACGUUAAGAGACACCAAUGAUUUAGCAAAACGCUUAAAAGCAGCAGCGGCAACAUCAUCGACAAGUGCGCAUACAACAAUUACAACAACUUCAGUAUCAGCCCCAAACACUAAAAAUAAUAAACAGAGUUUAAUGACGUCCGUAGUUGAAGUUCCUUAGCCUAAUUGGCAAUUUUUAGUCAUCACGGGUUGACACAGUAAAUCAACAGGCCAAAAUCAGCCUCCAGUUGACCACAAGAUACAAAUAAGGCCAAUUGUCAAUGAUUCAGGCCUUUAAAUAGGAAGCCCCGCAGUCAUUCCACACAACAAAGGCCAACUCACAAUCAUCACCCACGGCAACAGCAGCAACAUCAGCAAUAGCAACAAGAAGUCAAUGCCAAAGCAUUAGCGUAUGCACUUAUGCAGCCAAUGCAACUACCAGACAAUAAGCAAUACCCCAAGUUCCGCAAACACUGUGUGUCUCAGUUUUAUUUUUACCGAUCUCAAAUUCACCAAAAGAUCACCAAUCGCAGACUCUGUUGAAAAAAUUUAUUUGUUUUGAUUUACAAAAAUCUUUCCUAAAUUCUAGAAAUUAGAGAAUUUUAUUUUUUUUUUUAGAAAAAUUAUUUUAUUAAAACGCAUCUUACAAUAAAAAUAACGUAUGAAUGCAACCAAAA